This 841-nucleotide ribosomal RNA is filed under the name Xanthoparmelia transvaalensis. RNAcentral describes it as "SSU rRNA". It matches the Rfam family "Bacterial small subunit ribosomal RNA", at positions 407 to 1146 of the family's 1533-position model. The record is from RNAcentral. Lineage: Eukaryota; Fungi; Ascomycota; Lecanoromycetes; Lecanorales; Parmeliaceae.
GAGGAAUGUAUAGCAAUAGCUAGUUGCAUCAUAGUAGAUAUGAUGCAAGAUCGACUAUGUUGAAUAAAAUUCUAGGUAGAAUUAUGAUAAUGACAUUGUCUGCCUAUGUGUCUUGACCAAAUUACGUGCCAGCAGUCGCGGUAAUACGUAGAAGACUAGUGUUAUUCAUGUUUAAUCGGUUUAAAGGGUACCUAGACGGUAGAUCAAGCUUUCUAAUAAAGGAAAAGGACUAAUUUACUAGAGUUACUUAUGAGGGGGUAUUAAAGUACUGCUGGUGUAGAGAUGAAAUUCUGUCAUACCUCUUUUCAAAAGAAAAACCAUGGCACAGGUAUAGGCGAAGGCAUCCCCUUAUGUGAUAACUGACGUUGAGGGACGAAGGCUUUGUGUAGCGAACAGGAUUAGAUACCCCAGUAGUCGAAGCAGAAAAUGAUGAAUGUCAUAGAUUAGAUAUAUAAGUUUAUUCUAUAAAUGAAAGUGUAAGCAUUCCACCUCAUGAGUAAUUUGGCAACAUUGGAACUGAAAUCAUUAGACCGUUUCUGAAACCAGUAGUGAAGUAUGUUGUUUAAUUUGAUGAUCCGCAAAAAACCUUACCACAAUUUGAAUAUUUAUAUUAUUUAUUGUUUUAUUAUUAAUUUUCUUGAACGUAAAGAUCACGUAAAAGAAAAUAGAAAUUGAUGAUGAUAAUAGUAAGAAAAUUAAUAAAGAGGCAAUAAGGUAUAUUUACAAGCGUUGCACGGCUGUCUUCAGUUAAUGUCGCGAGACUUUGGUUAGUUCCAUUAAAUUAACGUAAACCCUUACUUUAUUUUUAUAUAGAGUAGUUCCCCGCUAUAUUGGAUAUGAU